This 2327-nucleotide long non-coding RNA is filed under the name Physcomitrium patens. RNAcentral's name for it is "long non-coding RNA (PPAT_LNC001496)". The record is from RNAcentral. Lineage: Eukaryota; Viridiplantae; Streptophyta; Bryopsida; Funariales; Funariaceae.
UAUGUCAAGAAGUUCCAUAAGAUGGUAGUUCCAUAAGAUGGUGCCUUGAUUUGAUUCUUUAAUUUGUUAUUCAUCAUAUUUAUGUAAAAUAAUCCUAUAAUCUAUAUCCCUCAAAAUUAAAAAUCAAAGCAAUAAGGUAUUUUACUUGUGACAAAUAGAUGUGGCAUAUAAAGCUCUUUUGCAUACAAUAUAAAUUAUAACAAUCAUAGGUUUUAAAAUUUAUGGUUUUACCAUGUUUCAAAAUGUAGCUCCUCCACAACACUACUAAAUUGUUACUAUGUGCUAUUGUUGGGAGAAAAAAAAUUAUACAUUGCAAUUUCCAUUUAUAUGCCUUUUAUCCACCAUGAUGUGCAUUUCUUUUAUUGUAUUACUAAUCUAUAUGUUGAGUCGUGCCUCAUUUCUAUUUGUGCUUACAUUAAUACAAUCAAAAAUUGGAAUCAAACUUACAUCUUCCAAAAUCCAAUGCUUAUCACCCCUUCUUCUAUGACAACUUACUUUUGAUCUAACAUCGGUGUAGAAUCACUACUCUUCUUUUCUAUGGAAAUAACAUUCAUUGCCACAAAAAUUACCUUGAUUGUUUGUUAAAUCAUUGAUUGGAAAAGCAGCACAAGUGGCUUGUUAAGACAUAGAUGCAUAUGGAGAAAUUCUCUUAUUGUGGUAGAGCAAUAGUAGUACAUGGUUUAUUGCUACAAUCACUUGCUUCAUCAAUUAGAAUAAAUGUAUAUAAGUAUCCAUCAAAAAACUCAAUUGCCUCAAAUUCUAUACCAACACCAAUACUUGGAUUAAUGUAGCAUGUGAAUAAAUUGUUAUUGGCUCUUAACAACUCCAUUCUUUGAACAACUCUGUUCUUGAAGAUAUUCAUGUCUCCAAUUCUCUUUGCAUUCUCAAAGUUCUUAGAAUUUUCUUCAAUAGUCAAUCAAAAUGCAUUUUUAUCUCUUUAUUUUAUAUGUCCAAGUUGUUUAUAUACAUAUCUAUAUAUAUAUAUAUAUAUAUAUAUAUAACUUGUAAUUUUAUCUUACAUGUGCAAAACUUCUUCUAUAUUUUAUAAAAAUAAAAAUGACUAUGCUAUAAAAUAUAAAUAAUUCUUAAUAUUUAUUUUAAAUUUUUAUUAGAUAUAAUUUUGGAUAAAUAUUCCAAAGCAUUAAAUAAAAAUAAAAAUGAGGAUUUAAAAUUAUUAUUGUAGUUGAAAUUGUGGAUAUAUUUUAAUCUUAGAUUUUUAAAUAAAGUCUAUAAUAAAUUUUGUAAUUAUUUUAAUAAAUAAAUUCAUACUUAAUUUUAAAAUUUAGAAUUGUUUACAUAAUUAUUCAGAAUAAAUACAUUGAUUUUUUAUAAAGAAAAAAAAAUUAAAGGAAAAGAAAAUAAAACAUAAUAGAGGUACUUGAAAAGAGGAAUGACAUCAAGAAGAUUUUGUUAGUUAAAGGGGAAGAAGAAAAAAUCAUUUGAAAAAAUUUGCUAAUAUUCACCAAAACUGAUAUGUAUUGUGUGUUAUCAAUCAUAAAUCAAUCAUUGAAAAAAAUAUAAAUGAUUUAUUAUACGUAAUUUAAUUUAAUUCGAUUUUUUUUCUUUUCCUUUUUCAAUUUCAAUUUAAGUCAUUUGUUUGCACAAAAUUUAUUUAUUUUAAGGGUUUGAAGCCAUAAAUUAUAAUACAUGAAAUAACUUAUCUUUAUAUAACUGAAUAACAACACUAUUCAAAAUUAAUGAAAACUUAUGUUAAUAUAUUUGUGUACUCAAAAAAUUACAAUACAAUUCAAUUUCAAUUCAAUUACAAUUUAAUUACAAGUUUUUGCACAGAAAACUAAGAAUAAUGAUUACAAAUAUACGGCUUUUUAUUUCUUUUGUUGGAAUCCAAUUCAAAUAAAAAAAUUGUAAAAAAUAUUGCAUUUUUUGAGCCAAUUAGCUAAAUUAGGUGAUAGCUUGUAUAUGUAGUUGAUGAAGACAUAAUUGUAUUUCUAUAUUGAAUAUUCCAACCUGACUUUUGUCUCCCUGGAGAAAACCACCACCAUAUGCUCUCAAAUCUUCUUUUUAGUUUCCUUCAAAAAAAUAAUUUAAAUUAAUUUUCUAAAUUAUAUACACAAAACUUACAUUAAUUACAAUCAUCAAUAUUGAAAAUGAUAACUUUUUUUUCAUGUAUAAAACCUAAUAGAUAAAAGUAAAUAAAUAAAUAAAUAAAUGGAAUAGAAAGAAAACUCACUAAGCUAAUAGAAAACUCAGAGAAUGAAAAAACGUGGUUGUGGAAGGGGUCAAAGAGUAGCAUAUUAUAUAUUGCUGCAGACAACUUCUGGCUCUUAAACCAAUUUCUUCUUUCUAUCUCAAAUAAUUCUCAAUUA